This 72-nucleotide transfer RNA is filed under the name Ovis aries (sheep). It matches the Rfam family "tRNA". From Rfam's summary of the family: Transfer RNA (tRNA) molecules are approximately 80 nucleotides in length. Their secondary structure includes four short double-helical elements and three loops (D, anti-codon, and T loops). Lineage: Eukaryota; Metazoa; Chordata; Mammalia; Artiodactyla; Bovidae. The record is from Rfam by way of RNAcentral.
UCCCUAGUGGCUCAGAGGUUAAAGCGUCUGCCUGAAAUGCAGGAGACUCCAGUUCGAUCCCUGGGUCGGGAA